CGGCUCGUCGUCGAGCAGGCCUGCGAGAACGGCGCCGUGGAGGCGACGCACGGCGCCCAUGACGCCCCGUGCGCUACAGCGAGCGCCCCACCGACGCGCCAUGCCCAUCACGACAUCUAGCGGCGCAUGCGAGGCCGCCAUGUCCAUCUCUCGUGUGCCGAUUGUUACGGACGGUAUGCGCGCGGCAGACUCGACCAGAGAGAGGUCGGCGGUGCGCAUGGCAUCGGCGAGCAGAGCCUGGGCUGCUCGCGCCACCAUGUGCGGGUAGGCCUUGCAGAACCGCUCGACAUGGUCCCAGUGAUGACCACGCACGAGGUGGACCAACGCGUCGACGUGGCGGCCGAGGCGCCUGUGGCGCACGAGGACGCCGAUGAGGUCGGCAUCGAAUUCCCACUGCCAAAUCUGGAAGCCGACCGUGGUGUCGCUGUGCGCCAGCACCCAGUCCAACGUCGCCACAGCGCCCGUGUCGGCGGCCGACGUGGCAUAGUCCUCCGUGCCGCAGGCGCCGAUGCCCACGGCCCGCGCCAUCGAGAGAUCGAACGCACGCGGAUAGGAACUCCCGCGAUUGGCCGGCUCCCUGGACCACCAGAGGCCUCCAUUUCCGUAAAUGCGCCCGACCUUGCAUGGCAGACCGAGUGCGUGUCGGCGCGCGCAUAUGGCCGUAGCCGCGAUGCGAUCGCCCGCCAUCAUGGCGCGCUCCAGUGUGAUCAUGGAAUCGUCGGGGUGCAGCAAAUGGUCGGCCAGGUACGACUCGGCGCGCGUCUGAUAGGAGGCGACAUCCCGGCCGAGUUCCUCGGAAACCGCGGUUCUGGCGUGCCCGAUGACAAAGUCGAGGACAUCGUAACGCGCGCCUUCCACGGCGGUCAGAGCGAUCAUCGCCCAGUUGACAUGAAGGGCUGCCUGGCGGGCUGCGCACCACCCGGCGAUCGGCAGGGCGAGCGACGACAGCGGUAACCGCCUGAUUUUCGGUGGUCCAGCGUGGGGCCGGGCGGUGGCGCACACGAGGUCCAAGGCGCGGUCCGCCAUUGCUGGAUCGCUCGCGGCGACGGCGGCAUCGAGUGCGGUGUUUGGGUCCAGGGCACCCACAUCGGCGAGCCAGUCGAGCGCGCCCUCUGUGCGAGACAAAACAGCGCAGGCCGUGGCAGGCGCGGCAUAGAGCGCCACGUCGCCCCCCGGAAGUCGUCGCAUGGCCUCACAAACGAGGCGCGCCACGGCCCAUUUGUCGGCCAGGUGAGCGGCGGGACGCCCCACCGCGGCCCAUACCCUGUCAAGGAGCGUGUGGCAAAAGGCGCCGGUGACGAGCGCCCUGGCGAGGCGCGCAUCACGCGGCGCCCUGGCCAAGAGGUAGGCGACGGUACGCGGGUGGGCCUUGUCGAUCGCGACGCCUAGUGCGUCUUUGGUGCGGUCGGUGAGGCGCGCCACAUCGCACAGGAAGCGCACGGCGUCGGUCCGGCCACAUGCGGCCGCCUCCACCAGGGCCCGCGAGGUAAGUACGCGGCGUCGAAGGAGGCGACAGAGCACGGGGACAAAGCCGAGUCGCGCCAGGCGGUCGGGCGCCAGCGACAGCCGGCGGAGUCGGGCUCCAUGACGCCAUAGUGUCUGUCGAUCGAGGACGUGAAAAAGGCGCGACGCAAGGACGCACGCGCACACCCACAAGUCGCCCUUGUCGACCAAGGCCAGUCGGGCCAGCACGUGGGCGAUCAUCUCGGGCGGCAGCAUGCUGAUGGGCGCGACGUCGACGGGGGACGCCACCGAGGCCCAAAAGAGAGCGGGCGGGGUGAGGCCGCGGCGGUGCAUGGUCUUGGUAUGAUGCGCGGGGACCCUCACAGAGGAGCGACGGCGAGGGCGAGGAGUGGUAACCGACCGCUCAAAGAAAGCGAGUUGGCGAAACACAACGCCUGUCCCUCGUCAUCCCAUCAGAGCGCCGGCGUGUGGUCUUUUUCUUUGACAAAGGCAGCCAACCAGGUCGGCCGGUUGCGCUCAC
RNAcentral lists this long non-coding RNA (1984 nucleotides) under Pandoravirus dulcis. RNAcentral describes it as "putative ncRNA". The record is from RNAcentral.